AAGUUUUAAAAAGUUUUAAUCUGACGUGGCAUCGAGGGAACUAGCAUGACCUGAGCCAUGUUAACAAAAGUUAACUCGUAAAUACUUUUCAAUCUGCUAUUUUCAUUUUGAUUUACCACAACAGUUCUCUCCUCGAAGUAAUACAAAAGCAAAGGCUUAAUCCUUCACAGUUAAAGCAAGAACGGUGCCAUCUCAGCAUAUUAAGCUCUUAUCAAUCCCAGGCAUUGAAAAAACCUGUAACUAGCAUCUAAUCUCUCAACAAAGGCUGAAGAAUCUAUCCAAGAAUCAUAUCCACAUUCCCCACAAUUCUCAAGUCCCACUUGAUGGAUUUAGAAUCCACAGCACAGGUUCCAAUUCCAUUCCCACACACAACCCACCAAACGCGAGACAAUGGAAAGUACCUGAACACAG
Populus euphratica (Euphrates poplar) is the source of this 411-nucleotide long non-coding RNA. RefSeq lists it as uncharacterized. The transcript is spliced from 2 exons. Lineage: Eukaryota; Viridiplantae; Streptophyta; Magnoliopsida; Malpighiales; Salicaceae. The record is from RefSeq and is a predicted model, not a curated record.